AUGACUGAAUAGGUCGGCAUUUGAGUCCAUCGCUUGUUCUGUUUGUUUACUCCAUUGAUUUACAGCAGCAAACAAAUGGAAUAAGCGACGGACUCCAAUCGCCCACCUAUUUCUAUAGUCAU
RNAcentral lists this microRNA precursor (122 nucleotides) under Fragaria vesca subsp. vesca. RNAcentral's name for it is "Fragaria vesca miR11307 stem-loop (fve-MIR11307)". Lineage: Eukaryota; Viridiplantae; Streptophyta; Magnoliopsida; Rosales; Rosaceae. The record is from miRBase by way of RNAcentral.